AUUAUCAGUAGAGAUGUAACAUUUAAUGAAUCUAUUUUAUUAAACAGUUAGAAGGAGAAGGCAAUAGUAGAAUCAGAUCACGGUGUUGGAGAAUAAAUAGAGUUUGAAGUCCAGUCCAAUAGGGAAUAAAGUGCAAGUUCUUUGUGAAAAAGGUGAUGAUGCACCUGAUCAACAAUAACCAUACAAUAUUGCAACAGGUAGGGAGAGAAAAUAUAUUAGACCACCACAGAGGUAUGAGAAUUUAGUUGCAUAUACUUUGUUAGUUGCAUGGAUAAUUAAUUUGCAGGAACCAAGGAGUUCAGGCGUAGAUUAGGGGGGUGGUACUGUGUGUGAAGAACUUGAUAGCGAACAUCACUUUGUUCAAGGAUUAAGUU
This 374-nucleotide long non-coding RNA is filed under the name Carica papaya (papaya). Its description in RNAcentral is "long non-coding RNA (CPAP_LNC003810)". Lineage: Eukaryota; Viridiplantae; Streptophyta; Magnoliopsida; Brassicales; Caricaceae. The record is from RNAcentral.